Molecule: transfer RNA, 446 nt
Filed under: uncultured Flavobacteriaceae bacterium
Lineage: Bacteria; Pseudomonadati; Bacteroidota; Flavobacteriia; Flavobacteriales; Flavobacteriaceae
Description: 16S-23S ribosomal RNA intergenic spacer
Rfam family: tRNA (bases 83-156)
Source: RNAcentral
AGAGAAAGACGACUAAAGUUUCUUAAACUAUCUAAUCAUAUAGUUUAUUCUCAUCGCUGUUAAUUAUAAUCACAUAAAGUGGAGUCUCAUAGCUCAGCUGGUUAGAGCGCUACACUGAUAAUGUAGAGGUCGGCAGUUCAAGUCUGCCUGAGACUACUACGUUUAGUUUAUUACUAAAUAAAAUGAGGAUUUUAGUAGCUGAGAUUGAUUCUGAAAACUCAUUAUAUUGGGGGAUUAGCUCAGCUGGCUAGAGCGCUAGAUUUGCAUUCUAGAGGUCGUGGGUUCGACUCCCACAUUCUCCACAAUCAGCUUUUUGCUGAAAACGUUCUUCGACAUAUUGAAAAAAAUACAUGAAAUUAAAAAUUUCAAAUAAUCUAAAUUUAAUUAAUUAAUUAAUUGAGUUUACGAGCAAUAUAAUUUAUAACUCAUAAAAAUACAAAAGUUAC